RNAcentral lists this ribosomal RNA (902 nucleotides) under uncultured bacterium. Its description in RNAcentral is "bacterial SSU rRNA". It matches the Rfam family "Bacterial small subunit ribosomal RNA", at positions 23 to 915 of the family's 1533-position model. The record is from RNAcentral.
CUCAGGAUGAACGCUAGCUACAGGCUUAACACAUGCAAGUCGAGGGGAAACGACAUCGAAAGCUUGCUUUUGAUGGGCGUCGACCGGCGCACGGGUGAGUAACGCGUAUCCAACCUGCCCACCACUUGGGGAUAACCUUGCGAAAGUAAGACUAAUACCCAAUGAUAUCUCUAGAAGACAUCUGAAGGAGAUUAAAGAUUUAUCGGUGAUGGAUGGGGAUGCGUCUGAUUAGCUUGUUGGCGGGGUAACGGCCCACCAAGGCGACGAUCAGUAGGGGUUCUGAGAGGAAGGUCCCCCACAUUGGAACUGAGACACGGUCCAAACUCCUACGGGAGGCAGCAGUGAGGAAUAUUGGUCAAUGGGCGAGAGUCUGAACCAGCCAAGUAGCGUGCAGGAUGACGGCCCUAUGGGUUGUAAACUGCUUUUAUAAGGGAAUAAAGUGAGUCUCGUGAGACUUUUUGCAUGUACCUUAUGAAUAAGGACCGGCUAAUUCCGUGCCAGCAGCCGCGGUAAUACGGAAGGUCCGGGCGUUAUCCGGAUUUAUUGGGUUUAAAGGGAGCGUAGGCCGGAGAUUAAGCGUGUUGUGAAAUGUAGACGCUCAACGUCUGCACUGCAGCGCGAACUAGUUUCCUUGAGUACGCACAAAGUGGGCGGAAUUCGUGGUGUAGCGGUGAAAUGCUUAGAUAUCACGAAGAACUCCGAUUGCGAAGGCAGCUCACUGGAGCGCAACUGACGCUGAAGCUCGAAAGUGCUGGUAUCGAACAGGAUUAGAUACCCUGGUAGUCCGCACGGUAAACGAUGGAUGCCCGCUGUUGGUCUGAAUAGGUCAGCGGCCAAGCGAAAGCAUUAAGCAUCCCACCUGGGGAGUACGCCGGCAACGGUGAAACUCAAAUGAAUUGACG